UACAUGUGGGGCAAGCGUUGUUCGGAAUUACUGGGCAUAAAGGGUGCGUAGGUGGCUUGUUAAGUCAGGGGUGAAAUCCCACGGCCCAACCGUGGAACUGCCUUUGAUACUGGCGAGCUCGAGUGCGUGAGGGGUGAUCGGAACGAGUAGUGUAGCGGUGAAAUGCGUAGAUAUUACUCGGAAGGCCAACGGCGAAGGCAGAUCACUGGUACGCAACUGACACUGAGGCACGAAAGCGUGGGGAGCAAACAGG
This 253-nucleotide ribosomal RNA is filed under the name uncultured bacterium. RNAcentral's name for it is "partial 16S ribosomal RNA". It matches the Rfam family "Bacterial small subunit ribosomal RNA", at positions 524 to 776 of the family's 1533-position model. The record is from RNAcentral.